GACAAGACAAAGGCUGUCUUUAUUAUUUAAAUAAAAUUUAACUUUUAAGUGAAAAGGCUUAAAUGUAACAAAAAGACGAUAAGACCCUAUAAGCUUUAUGUUAAAGUGUUAUAAUUUUAAAAAGUUUAUUAAAAAUUUUAUGGAAUAUAAAAUAUUUAGCUGGGGCGGCGUGUUUAAAAUUUUUAUUAACUUCUCUUUAAUAAAACAUUUUUAAAUGAAAUUAAUAGAUCCUUUAUAUAAAGAUUAAAAGAAAAAUUACUUUAGGGAUAACAGCGUUAUUCUUUUUGAGAGUUCAUAUCGAAAAAAGAGAUUGCGACCUCGAUGUUGAAUUAAAAAUUCUAUAUAGUGUAGCACCUUUAUAAGAAGGUCUGUUCGACC
Molecule: ribosomal RNA, 378 nt
Filed under: Raylilia uenoi
Lineage: Eukaryota; Metazoa; Arthropoda; Malacostraca; Decapoda; Leucosiidae
Description: partial large subunit ribosomal RNA
Source: RNAcentral